RNAcentral lists this ribosomal RNA (497 nucleotides) under uncultured bacterium. Its description in RNAcentral is "partial 16S ribosomal RNA". It matches the Rfam family "Bacterial small subunit ribosomal RNA", at positions 28 to 507 of the family's 1533-position model. The record is from RNAcentral.
GAUGAACGCUGGCGGCGUGCUUAAUACAUGCAAGUCGAGCGAACGGACGCGGCGCUUGCUUUUCUGACGUUAGCGGCGGACGGGUGUGUAACACGUGUAUAAUCCACCUAUAAGACUGGGAUAACUUCGGGAAACCGGCUCUAAUACCGGAUAAUCUCUUGAACCGCAUGGUUCAGAAGUGAAAUACGGUCUUGCUGGCACGUAUAGAUGGAUCUGGGCUGCAUUAGCUAGUUGGUAAGUUAACGGCUUACUAAGGCAACGAUGCAUAGCCGAAGUGAGAGGGUGAUAGGCGACACUGGAGCGGGACCGGGGUCAAGGCUCCUGCGGGAGGCAGCAGUAGGGAAUCGGCCGCAACGGGGGAGAGCCUGACGGAGCAACGCGGCGUGAGUGAUGGAGGUCUUCGGAUCGUAAAACUCUGUUAUUAGGGAAGAACAUAUGUGUCAGUAACUGAGCAGAUCUUGACGGUACUGAAUCAGAAAGCCACGGCUAACUACGUG